UGGAGCUCAUAUGUUUCCUGUGCCAC
Molecule: non-coding RNA, 26 nt
Filed under: Rattus norvegicus (Norway rat)
Lineage: Eukaryota; Metazoa; Chordata; Mammalia; Rodentia; Muridae
Source: RNAcentral